CGCCGUGUGGGUGAUGAUGGCCUUCGGGUCGUAACUCCCUUUUCUGUGGGACGAGUAAGGAUGGUACACCCAGGAAUAAGCCUCGGGUAACUAUCUGCCAGAAGCCGUCGGUACUACAUAGGAGAGCAAGCGUCAUCCGGAUUUACGUGGGCGUAAAGAGCGUAGAGGCUGAGCUUCGUAAAAUUAGGACGUGAAAGCUCCCGGCUUAACUGCGAGGAGGCCGAUUCAAUACUACGGGGCUCGAGGACAGCAGUCGGGGGUGGAAUUUCCGGUGUAGUGCUGAUAUGCGUAGAUAUCGGAAGGAACACCAGUGGCGAAGCCGGCCACCCUGGGCUGCUCCUGACGCUGAAGGCGAAAGCCUAGGGUAGCGAACGGGAUUAGUAACCCCGGUAGUCCUAACCGUAAACGAUGGAUACUAGCUGUAGGAGGCUCAAAUUCCUUCUGUGCCGGAGCUUACGCGUUAAGUAUCCCGCCUGGGGAGUACGGUCGCUAGGCUAAUACUCCGAGGAAUUGAAGGGGGCCCGCACAAGCAGCGGAGCGUGUGGUUUAAUUCGAUGCAACGCGAAGAACCUUACCAGGGCUUGACAUGUAGGUAGUAGUGAAGCGAAAGCGG
Molecule: ribosomal RNA, 613 nt
Filed under: uncultured organism
Description: bacterial SSU rRNA
Rfam family: Bacterial small subunit ribosomal RNA
Source: RNAcentral